CGCUCGGAGCGUGCAGUGUAUCGGUGUCAGUACGAACGGACGCGCCACGAUUUAUCGUGGUAAACGUCUCGUAGGCGGUUUAUGAAUCAUAUGAUUCACCGAUCAACGAUAUUUUCACUCGGUGUUACGUGUUGAACAAAAUCGAAUCGAAAGCAGAAACGAAAAACUGCUCACGAUUCAGUGAAAGUGGCAGACGGAGCGGUGACAGCGAGAUUUCGCGCGUGUUCAAGCCGGGAGGCGCAUGUUGCUCUCCUCAAGGUUCGAUCGAGUCGAAGACAGCUGGGAGAGAAUUGUUCGGGAGGGAUGCUUUGAAAUACAGACACAGUUAUUUCAUUCAAGGGUGAAACGUCGUCCCAGAAGAUCGAGGCAUGCCGAAGUAUUGGCUGAACGUGGCCCUUCUCAGGGUUAUUCUGCCACUUGUCUUAGCAGGAUGUACGGUAUGGCGGCCCGUGGGACUGUCCCUAGUUUAUUUUGCUCUGAUGCUAUAUUCGCCCCAUGUCCCUGUACCAAACGCAAAGACAAUGGCUGGCCAUACGGGACAUUAUUUGAAGACCUGCAUCGGCCUAUCUUUUCUCACAGCCACCAGUCAAUUCACCUUUCACAUAGUUUUGCUGGCGUUGCCAACUUACGGACAUUUUCUUCAAAACUGCGAACUGAUGGAAGUGAUCUUCAGACACAUAGGUUUCGUGAGGCUAGAUAGCGCGUCAGCUUGGGAGGUCCUUUUUUGGCUGACCCCAGAGCUAAUUGUUUUACCUACUAGUAUAGCAAUGUAUUUUAUAUGUCGUUCCCUAUCUCAAAAGUCGGUCACCAACGUAGAAGACGAUGCAUCGUUGCAUCGGGGUGCUGUUGCUUCGAAAAAGACCGAGGACAGCACGGCAAAGAUCAUCAAUUUUCUGGGGCGUAUCGGAACCUACGUGGUCCUGGCGUCAUUUUGCAUCACAGCAUCCUUGAAACCAUCCGUGGAAGGUGGUUGUUACUUCCUCGUCUUCCUAGGAGCAGCUACUUGGUGGGCGUGUAAUAAAGAGCUUCGGAAAGGAUUCGCUGUACUUUGCAGGAUCAUGAUGGCCGUCGUAAUCCUUCAUCUACUGACCCUGCUCACUUAUCAGAAUCAACUGCCUCAAGAAUUGAUCCCUUUGAAUAGGACCUGGCAACGUUAUUUUGCUCUGACCGCGAUCUAUCGGACGAAUUGCAGCGAUCCGAGAAACGUGGAAUACGCUGAAAAUGCUGAUUGGUUGGUUUACGGCUACUGUUUGCGACUGUUUUGGCUCUACUACGUUUUGGCUUUGCAAUCUCAAUUCCUGAGCAAAAAACCGAACGUUGCUUUUACUAACGAGGCGUUCCAGGCAAAGAAAGUGAAACGUUUAAGCGGCAAACUGGAGAACCUGGACACUCCAUUGUCUAGACACGUUUCCAUCAGAAGAAGGACACCUUCUCAGAGAUGGCAAUCUGCCCGUCGAAAGGCCCGCAAGCCGAUCGUUAAUUCGUCGUCCCUACCUGUCGACGAGCGCACACCCUUGAUGAGGUUUGGAUCCGGAAGAACGGGACUGUUGCAAGAUUCAACCGGAAGCGUCAUCGUUCAAGACGGUCAUCAGGAUGACAGUAUUCAGCUGCAAAGUCUUAGCGAAGCUGCUCCUGAUGAACAAUCUGGGAUCAUCGAACACAUCAUCAUGGCUGUAUAUUCGAUUUUCCAAUUGAUCAUCAAUUCAUCUUACAUCGCCACUAAUAUCAUAAUGAUGACUUGGAGCAUAAUGUAUCACAGUUGGACAACAUUUGCUUUGUUAUUAUGGGCUUUGGUCCUUUGGAUGGUGCCUAACAAACGAGCUUCCAUGAUGAAAUGCUCUCCCUUUAUCGUUUUUUACGCGAUGCUUCUUCUUCUGGGACAGUACAUUUAUAGUAUGGAUUUGACCGAGGAAGAGUUACCGACACAAAUAAAUGGAGUUAAAAUAUCAGAAAUCGGUUUCAGCAAGACCGAAAGUCAUUGGCAUUUAGUGGUUAAAUGUGUGUUCAUAUCGAUGUUUUGGAUUACGAUGAGACAGUAUACCGCUGAGAGAACCAGACAAAGGCGUUCUUCAGCGUUGAGAGACAUGGUAGCUCCGUUACAUGUUUCCGUUUCGACAGCCACCACUGCCAUGCACCAGGAAGCGCCUGAGAUUAAAAGCAAAUUCAUGAAAGAUGUUGGUAUUCUUCUGAAAAAGUUGCUGACCAAGUUUUGGAUCGCUGUAGUAGCCAUUAUGCUAUUUAUCUGCGGAAUCACUGGCGAACGUAUGACCGUCUUCAGGAUCGUUUACAUGUCUCUCUUCUUGGUUCUAGUCAUUACAUUCCAGAUAUCCUGGACAGUAUGGAGGAAGAUGAUGUACUCGUUCUGGCUCACAGUCAUCGGAUACUCCGUGAUCAUGUUGAUCCUCGUCUACACUUAUCAAUUCGACAAUUUCCCAGAAUAUUGGAGCUAUUUGCGCAUAGACGAAGACCUGCAGAUGGACAUCGGUUUAGAGAAAUACGCGACCAAAGAUCUUUUCGUUAGACUGUUAACACCGACCUUCUUCGUCAUCAUCACCGUUCUUCAGAUUCAUUAUUUUCACAAAGACUUCUUGGAAGUGACAAAUAUCGAAAGAUUCGGAUACCGGAGUAGUCCUGUCAGACGAUCCAGUCUUGGCCACUCUCCGACCUUGGACAUAGUACCAAAUAUACCUGCAGACAUUUUUAUUAGCGAGGAGACAAACGAAACCAAAUACAGCUUGCGACAAUUGAAACGAAUGUCCAAAUUGGAAAGAGUAGCGUUAUUUCGCAAAAUAGUCGGCCAUUUGGUGAACUUCUACAAUUACACGUGGCUGUUCCUUGAAAUUCAUAUGCAGAAGAUUGUUUUCAUCUCUGUGAUACUACUUUGCGUGAACGAUGUUUGUGCCAUUAAUAUAGUGUUCGUCGUGAUAGUGGUUAUUAUGAUCAAUUCUAGACGGAACGUUCAAAUAUGCACCGUUAACACGAUCGCAGCGAUCAUUGCUCUCUUAAUGGUUGUAAAGAUGCUUUAUCAGAUUCAGUACAUCGAUCAUAACAAUUGGAACGUUAAUUGCACGAAAAACAUAGAUGAAUUUCAACAGCCAUACGCCAGCAACAACACAGUAUACAACAUAGCCGAAUGGUUUGGUAUAAAGAAAGCAGAGCCAGGACAUCUCGCAGAACUACUGAAAGGCUAUAUAGGAAUCAUAGUAGUGACCACCGUGAGAAAAAUCAUCAGAAUUCGACAGUGCUUCCAUCGACAAGAACGUGGUGAACCUCUGGACACGCCACAAGUCAUGUUCCCAUCGAUCACUAGAGCAGACGCUGAUAAAGGACUGCCAGAAUGCAUAAAGUUCCUGUUCAAUUACGGAUUCUACAAGUUUGGCGUAGAAAUGUGUCUGAUAGGAAUCGUGGCUUUGAUUGGAACAAGACUCGACUUUUAUUCGGUUCUAUAUAGUAUAUGGUUGUUGCUGUUCUUUUCCUUGAAAAGAAGAACUAUCUCGAAGAUUUGGCCAUUCUUCAAGAUUUUCGCUAUAAUCCUUUUACCUAUUCAGUAUUCUCUGGUCGUGUCGCUGCCUUCCUGGCUUUGUAUAGAUUAUCCAUGGGGUGAUUCGAAAAUAUUGAGGAGGCUACAAGAGUGGAUGUAUUUCCCUGAUCCAGAUUUCCCACCGAAUCCCAGAAAACUAAUAUGUGACUUCAUUCUGUUGAUGAUGAUCGUCAGACAGAGCCUCGUUUUCAAAAUCGAACAACGAAGCGCAGCGUCUGGCGUAGAAUUUCCAGCAGGUCACAAUUAUUCCGUGUACAAUAACAUGGAGAAACCGAAUUUCGUAAAUCCUGUGAAAGAUUACGUGUCCCACAUUCAUUCGUGGUUGGACAUCGUGAAACGAGGCGUGAUGAUGAGUCUUAUGUGGGUUACCUUGUCGAUCAUGUUCUUGGCUGGAACCGAGAGAACCAACCUGUUCUCGUUGGGUUACUUGAUCGGAGCGUUCGUGUUCCUCUGGCAAGGAAGCGACUUUUAUUUGAGACCAGUCAAGACGAUUUUAAAAUGGUGGAAUCUUCUGAUUGGAUACAACGUUACCGUUAUCUUCUUGAAAGCCUUGCUUCAAGGUAUAGGUUGUGUGCUGACAACGGAGUUGAAGACUUCAGCAUGUCCAGUCAUUCAGUUAUUCGGCAUUAGCUGUCUAAGAAAAUUCCGAAGUUCUACCAGUGAUCUCGAGUUGGGAAAAGCAGAAUGCGAAGUACCUCGCGAAGACAUAGGCAUGGUCUGGGACGGCCUGUGCUUUGGCUUUCUGCUACUGCAGAAACGACUCUUUAAGAGUUACUAUUUCUUCCACAUAGUGGAUGAAACGAAAGCCAUGAGCGUGUUGGCUUCCCGAGGAGCUGAGUUGCUCGAAGAGCUGCACCAGAAACGCAUCGAGAUCCAGGACAACGUGGAAAAGAACGUGCUACAAAAGUUGAAGUUUAAGAUGGACAAGAUCAAAGCCAAUCAGAGAAAGAUACAAGGACCCAGUUACAGAGAACCCCAGACGCACAAAGUUGAUACUCUCUAUCCAGGGACAAGGCCAUUGUACAGAGUUCGCGCUCCAAAUACCAACAAAGAGGCCAUCAGAUCCGGUGAUUACUACAUGUUCGAUGACUUGGACGACGAUGAUGUGACUGAUCUUAUUCCCGACACCGAAUCCGAGAAGAAAGAGCAAGAACGUCGCCGCGAACAAGAGAGGCGUAGUCGAAGGAUGACCAUCUCCGAGCUGAUGCACACGCUGAUUAAGACAGACAUUGAGAUUGCGACGCACGUUGCCAUGUACGGAGGGACUGAAAAGGACGCGCUGAGACUUCGUCGUCGUAGUGUACCUUUGACAAGGAAGAAAUCGUCUAUGUCGUACCUAAGUGCACGUUCCGAGACCGACACAGCAGUGGCCACCGAUUCGCAGCUGACAGCGAGGCUCCUCGUCGUUGGUGGCGGUGACAAAACAAGUCUUACAUCGGCUGACAUUGAAACCGAAGAAAAGGAUACGUCAAUGGCAGAUGCUGAGAAAACAUCCCAACCCUCUGACGAUGAGUACGGAGAAGAUAAGGUCGACGAACCAAAAAGGAAGGAAGAAGAGGAAGAAGAGGAGGAGGAGGAGGAGAAGAAAGUGUCGUUUGUCACGUACCUUAAAUUCCUUUUGGUGAUGAUUAACAGCACAUUAACUUCGAUGACCAGAUAUUUGAAUAGAUUUUCAAGGGACUAUAGAUAUAUUCGCAAGGUUCUAGCGAAAGAAAAGAAACUAUUAAAGGCAAAGCCAGAUUUUCGAAUGGGAACGAGAUUAGGUAUAAAUCAAAUGUGGCAGCCGAUACCAUUAUUGAAGAAGAGAUCCUCGACUAAUGGAAUUACCGAGGAAUGUUUCGAUGCUGGCGAGGGUCCUAGUCAACCUCGAACACAGGAGGAGAGCACGCUCUUCUCUGAAAUGUCACCCGUUCAACACGACGACGAAGCAGGGGAAUUAUCGGAGGUCGACCAACCACCGAUAAUACAAUUAUUGGCGUCCAUAUGGUUUGGCAUUUUGGCCCACUCGAGUCUGCUAUGCUACUUUAUGGUGUUUCUUCAUCAAAUCAAAAAUGCGUCGGUUUUAUCCACACCCUUGCCGCUGAUGGUGUUUUGCUGGGGUUCACUUACAAUCCCACGACCAUCGAAGACAUUUUGGGUAACUUUGAUCGCAUACACCGAGGUAAUUGUCAUCGUAAAAUGCAUUUUCCAAUUGGAACUGUUACCCUGGAAUCGAGACGCCGCACCGAAUAAUCCUCUCUUUACACCCAGAAUCAUGGGAGUUGAACGAAAACCUGAUUACGCCUUAUGGGAUCUAUUGUUGCUCCUUAUGGUAUUCUUCCACAGGUUUAUGCUGAAGUCGUUGGGACAGUGGACCGCGCCGACGCUUAAACCAAGGAAAAUUAUACCCUCGAGUUUAACUAUAGUCGCGUCUAAACCUCCUCCUGAAGAUAGAGGGCAAGGGGAAACUGUGUUACGAAACGAAACAGAGGAUGGUACCAAUAUAAAAACACCUGCAGGAAGGACCUUGCAUAUCCGUGGUGAGGGCGAAAAUCUAGAAACGCACGAUGAGAAUGAAAGACUUGUCGCGAUUCAGGGCGAAGAAACGGAUGAAACAUUCCAGAAAACUAUGGAUAUGACCGUUAACAAAUAUAUGGAACCGACGAAACACUUUUUCCGCAUGAUUCUCAGUACGUCCGGCAAAGAGAAAACCAAUGUGUAUGCGUACAUGUUUCUCUGCGAUUUCUUCAACUUUUUGCUACUCAUUUUUGGAUUCUCUGCAUUUGGAACUCAACAAGGCGAUGGCGGUGUGACGGCCUAUUUACAGGAAAAUCGAGUACCUAUGCCUUUCUUGUUAAUGUUAUUAUUGCAAUUUGCGCUGAUUGUUAUCGAUAGAGCUUUAUUCUUGAGAAAGUCUAUCCUGGGAAAACUAAUCUUUCAAUACUGCUUAAUAUUUGGUGUUCACAUUUGGAUGUUCUUCAUUUUGCCAAGUGUUACGGAACGACAAUUUAAUGAGAAGCUUCCACCACAAAUUUGGUACAUGGUGAAGUGUUUCUAUCUUCUAUUGGCUGCGUAUCAGUUACGACAGGGCUAUCCAACGCGUAUACUCGGUAACUUCCUCUGCAAAGAUUACAGUAUCGUGAACUACGUCUUGUUUAAAGGAUUCAUGCUGGUUCCUUUCUUGUUCGAGCUGAGAGCUGUUAUGGAUUGGAUUUGGACAGACACAUCCAUGGCCAUUAUGGACUGGUUCAAAAUGGAAGAUAUAUUCGCCAGCAUUUAUCAAAUCAAGUGUAUGCGAGGCGUAGAAGCAGAUUUCCCGCAGCCACGAGGCGUUAAGAAACAGCAAAUGAGCAAAUACUUAGUAGGUGGUGGUGCUCUGUUCCUCAUGAUUGGGUUGAUAUGGUUCCCAUUGCUUUUGUUUGCACUUGGUGGCACGGUUGGUGUUUCAAACUUGCCUUACGAUGUCUCGAUGAAAAUUAGAAUCGGUCCAUAUGAACCUAUUUACGCCAUGUCUGCUCAAAGCGGCUCUAUCAUCGAAUACAACGAAGCAGAGUAUAAAAGAUUAACAAAUUUGUACGCGAGGGAUAGACCUGCGGUUACUUUCUUAGAGAAUUAUGUUCAUUCUGACGUCGCUGCGAUCAGACUGAGCGGAUUUUCUAGAAAAUUGUGGAGUAUAUCUCCGCCAGAUUUAGAAAGACUAAUAGCAGAAUUAGAAAACAACAGUACCACUGUCGUCGUUCACGUGGAAUGGACAGUGUCACGAAAGACAGAUGCCAAAGACGCCACUGGUAUAACGACGAAAACUCGUGACAUAAAAUUACUUCCGUUUAUUAAUGAUGAAUUCAAUCCUGUAAGAAGAAAGUUAGCCGAUAUGUUAUCGCCUGAGAAAUCGACUAUACAUAACGGUACUAUCAUAUUGCCAAACGCUUUUCCAAAAUUCUUAAAGGUAACUGGUCGCAACACUGACGUGGUUCCUCAAUUGAUGCAUUUAAGAUUGCGACGCGACGAAAAUGAGGAAGUAACAGACGACAGUUAUCUUUAUAGAAAUAUUAGCCUUCAACUGUCCACCGAUUCUGAAUGCUGUGCGCACGAAAAAUGGUGGGUCGUUAGAGAAGCUUGCAACGAUCCAUUGUAUGAACAAUUAUUAGAAAAUAUACCUUUAAAUAGUUGCAAAUACAUCAUGAUGUUCUUGUUCAACGAUAAAACGUUCCCUGAGGGAUUGAGCUUCAUUAGUGGAUUAGGAAUCUUAGGUUUGUAUACCACCGCGGUUAUCGUGAUAAGUCAGAUGAUGAGAAAGAUAGUCAGUGAUAUGGCACCAAAGAUCAUGUUCGAUGACUUGCCCUACGUAGAUAGGAUCCUUCGAUUGUGUUUGGACAUUUAUUUGGUCCGUGAAAGUGGUGAAUUGUGUCUCGAAGAGGACUUGUUUGCCAAAUUAAUAUUCCUCUACAGAUCGCCAGAGACGUUAAUCAGGUGGACAAGACCUCCUGAAGAAGGAGAGCGGACCGAUAAUGAAGAUCAAGAUGAGGUAGAGGAAGAGGGGAGAGGAGAAUCUCGAGAAGUUUCUCGUCGCGAAUAAGUUUUUUCAAAAGCGAAAUAUUACCAGUGAACAAUACUCUUCAAGAAUUUUUUAAAUCGAUUUAACGAACUUAAACAGUGACGCAACGAGUGUUCUGGAAAUUAGAAAGAAAGCUCAGGAAUCUAUUAUCGUGCUGUUUACUGUUUGAAUAAUGAAGAGAUUGAUGAAUGAAGAGAUCGUUUCUAUCUUCAAACAUCAAUAUUAUGUACAUGUACAUACAGAAGUCAGAAGGGAAGGCGAAACAAGAUUAAGGAACAAUAAGGAAAGAGAUUUGAAAAUUCGAAAAGAAUACUAGAAUAUGUUCUAGUAAGAUUUUUUAUUUCGUGGUCAUAGAUUUAAGUGAAAUUUUUACUUUAACAUUUAUUUAUAAAAGAUUCGCUUAAAUAGCACAAUAUAUCAUAAUAUAAGAACACUAUUGUGAUCAUGGAAUAUCAAUAACACAAUUUCAGAACAAGUGCUUUAUACGUUUUACACGUAUGCGGAUCAUUUAUCGUACCAUAUGGAAGCUGUUCUCGUUUUAUCUAUAAUUUAUUUAUACUUUACGUCCACACCGAAAUCCAUGCACGUUUCGAGCAUAAUUCCAUUUCAGAUUGCAUUUGUACCCGAUAAACAUGUUUGCUGAAAACUGCCGUUAGCAAUAUUUUUCGUUCCUUUUUAUACCUUUUUCUAAUCAUUAGUACACAUCAUUAUCAUUCACGAAUAGCAAAUAUGGCCGAUUGGGUCAAGCCUUGAGCGUAUUUUAUAUAUUAUUUAUGUCCGAAGUGAAGAUUUCACGAUGACUAUCAUUGUUUGUAAAUAUAUAUUAUACGAUGCGCGUUUUCGUCGAAACAUUGUAUCAUGUCGCCUUGAUAUGCCUUUUAAAGAUAUCUUCAAAUAUAAAUCAUGUUUCGAAUGGA
This 8992-nucleotide unclassified non-coding RNA is filed under the name Megachile rotundata (alfalfa leafcutting bee). RNAcentral's name for it is "piezo-type mechanosensitive ion channel component 2, transcript variant X14". Lineage: Eukaryota; Metazoa; Arthropoda; Insecta; Hymenoptera; Megachilidae. The record is from RNAcentral.